This 468-nucleotide ribosomal RNA is filed under the name uncultured bacterium. Its description in RNAcentral is "partial 16S ribosomal RNA". It matches the Rfam family "Bacterial small subunit ribosomal RNA", at positions 28 to 507 of the family's 1533-position model. The record is from RNAcentral.
GACGAACGCUGGCGGCGUGCUUAACACAUGCAAGUCGAACGGAAAGGCCCUGCUUUUGUGGGGUGCUCGAGUGGCGAACGGGUGAGUAACACGUGAGUAACCUGCCCUUGACUUUGGGAUAACUUCAGGAAACUGGGGCUAAUACCGGAUAGGAGCUCCUGCUGCAUGGUGGGGGUUGGAAAGUUUCGGCGGUUGGGGAUGGACUCGCGGCUUAUCAGCUUGUUGGUGGGGUAGUGGCUUACCAAGGCUUUGGCGGGUAGCCGGCCUGAGAGGGUGACCGGCCACAUUGGGACUGAGAGACGGCCCAGACGCCUACGGGAGGCAGCAGUGGGGAAUAUUGCACAAUGGGCGGAAGCCUGAUGCAGCAACGCCGCGUGCGGGAUGACGGCCUUCGGGUUGUAAACCGCUUUCGCCUGUGACGAAGCGUGAGUGACGGUAAUGGGUAAAGAAGCACCGGCUAACUACGUG